This 305-nucleotide ribosomal RNA is filed under the name uncultured bacterium. RNAcentral describes it as "bacterial SSU rRNA". It matches the Rfam family "Bacterial small subunit ribosomal RNA", at positions 335 to 637 of the family's 1533-position model. The record is from RNAcentral.
CCGCCUACGGGAGGCAGCAGUGAGGAAUAUUGGUCAAUGGGCGCGAGCCUGAACCAGCCAAGUCGCGUGAGGGAAGACGGUCCUAUGGGUUGUAAACUUCUUUUAUAUGGGAAUAAAAUGUUCCACGUGUGGGAUUUUGUAUGUACCAUAUGAAUAAGGAUCAGCUAACUCCGUGCCAGCAGCCGCGGUAAUACGGAGGAUCCGAGCGUUAUCCGGAUUUAUUGGGUUUAAAGGGAGCGUAGGUGGAUUGUUAAGUCAGUUGUGAAAGUUUGCGGCUCAACCGUAAAAUUGCAGUUGAAACUGGC